CCUUUUAGGGAGACCGUUCCCCGAUCGAGUGAAGGCCGUUCGUGAGCCCACUCGAUUGAGGUCAACCUAGGUCGUGCGAAGAGUAUUCGGUCGUGUCUUUCAAACGAACGAGGAUUCGGAAUCUCAGUUUUCAAACAACUGAAAACUCGACGAGGCCGAAAAAACGUGGGCUAUUAGCUCAGGUGGUUAGAGCGCACCCCUGAUAAGGGUGAGGUCCCUGGUUCAAGUCCAGGAUGGCCCACCUGGUUCAGCGAACAGCGAGCAGUAAACAGUGAACAGUGAGAACUGAUGGCUGUUGUCUGGUGACUGUUAACUGAAAGAGUGGGGGUAUAGCUCAGUUGGUAGAGCGCCUGCUUUGCAAGCAGGAUGUCAGCGGUUCGAGUCCGCUUACCUCCACGCUCGUCUCGUCGCCACUCGACCCUCGAAACCCAAACGAUUCAAAUCGGAAAGGGAGUUCAGCACCCGAGAGAGCUCGGACUGCUGGACGUCCCGUCCAGUGAGAACCUUGAAAACUGCAUAGUCAUCUCUAACAAAGUAAAGCUAGGGAAAGCCGAGACCUCGCGCAUUGAGG
Molecule: transfer RNA, 571 nt
Filed under: Geitlerinema sp. KM-SH3
Lineage: Bacteria; Bacillati; Cyanobacteriota; Cyanophyceae; Geitlerinematales; Geitlerinemataceae
Description: 16S-23S ribosomal RNA intergenic spacer
Rfam family: tRNA (bases 324-396)
Source: RNAcentral